Molecule: ribosomal RNA, 579 nt
Filed under: uncultured bacterium
Lineage: Bacteria
Description: partial 16S ribosomal RNA
Rfam family: Bacterial small subunit ribosomal RNA
Source: RNAcentral
UGGGGAAUUUUGGACAAUGGGGGAAACCCUGAUCCAGCCAUCCCGCGUGUGCGAUGAAGGCCUUCGGGUUGUAAAGCACUUUUGGCAGGAAAGAAACGUCGCGGGUUAAUACCCCGCGAAACUGACGGUACCUGCAGAAUAAGCACCGGCUAACUACGUGCCAGCAGCCGCGGUAAUACGUAGGGUGCAAGCGUUAAUCGGAAUUACUGGGCGUAAAGCGUGCGCAGGCGGUUCGGAAAGAAAGAUGUGAAAUCCCAGAGCUUAACUUUGGAACUGCAUUUUUAACUACCGGGUUAGAGUGUGUCAGAGGGAGGUGGAAUUCCGCGUGUAGCAGUGAGAUGCGUAGAUAUGCGGAGGAACACCGAUGGCGAAGGCAGCCUCCUGGGAUAACACUGACGCUCAUGCACGAAAGCGUGGGGAGCAAACAGGAUUAGAUACCCUGGUAGUCCACGCCCUAAACGAUGUCAACUAGCUGUUGGGGCCUUCGGGCCUUGGUAGCGCAGCUAACGCGUGAAGUUGACCGCCUGGGGAGUACGGUCGCAAGAUUAAAACUCAAAUGAAUUGACGGGGUCAUAGCUG